ACCGCAGCAGCAAGGGAUCCCGG
This 23-nucleotide non-coding RNA is filed under the name Arabidopsis thaliana (thale cress). The record is from RNAcentral. Lineage: Eukaryota; Viridiplantae; Streptophyta; Magnoliopsida; Brassicales; Brassicaceae.